This 497-nucleotide ribosomal RNA is filed under the name uncultured bacterium. Its description in RNAcentral is "partial 16S ribosomal RNA". It matches the Rfam family "Bacterial small subunit ribosomal RNA", at positions 28 to 507 of the family's 1533-position model. The record is from RNAcentral.
GAUGAACGCUGGCGGCGUGCCUAAUACAUGCAAGUCGAACGAACAGACGCGGCGCUUGCUCCUCUGACGUUAGCGGAGGACGGGUGAGUAACACGUGGAUAACCUACCUAUAAGACUGGGAUAACUUCGGGACACCGGCGAUAACACCGGAUAAUAUAUUGCACCACAGGGUGCAAUAGUGAAAGACGGUUUUGGUGUAACUUAUAGAUGGAUCCGCGCCGCUUUAGCUAGUUGGUAAGGUAAAGGGUUACCAAGGCAACGAUGCGUAGCCGACCUGUGAGGGUGAUCGCCCACAUUGGAACUGAGACACGGUCCAGACUCCUACGGGAGGCAGCAGUAGGGAAUCUUCCGCAAAGGUCGAAAGCCUGACGGAGCAACGCCGCGUGAGUGAUGAAGGUCUUCGGAUCGUAAAACUCUGUUAUUAGUGAAGAACAAAUUUGUAAGUAACUAUGCACGUCUUGACGGUACCUAAUCAGAAAGCCCCGGCUAACUACGUG